Syzygium oleosum is the source of this 730-nucleotide long non-coding RNA. RefSeq lists it as uncharacterized. The record is from RefSeq and is a predicted model, not a curated record. The transcript has 2 exons. Lineage: Eukaryota; Viridiplantae; Streptophyta; Magnoliopsida; Myrtales; Myrtaceae.
CUUCGACUGCCUCAUCGGAAACCCUAACGCUUGGUUUGCACAUUCCCCGGGCGAUUUCUCCGCUUGUCCGGACCGCUCGUUCUUCAUUUCACAAAUCACGUCCCCCCCGGUCCAGCCGAAGAGAUUCGAACGCGGCCUCGAUCCAGGGCGCACGCUCUGACCUUGUUCGUUCCAUGAUUUGUGAAGGAAGAACGAACGAUCUGAACAACCGAAGUAGUCCCCCGACGAAAUGUGCUCGACAAGAAGUUGCCUGCUGACGGGUGACGAUGCUGCUGAGACAGGUUGAUGCAUCGGGUAGUAUUCUGCGGGUGUGACGUGUGUGUACGAAAGGGAAGAUCUGGAUCGCUGUGAUAAGGGUAAGGCUGAGACUGAAGAUGAGACAAGGAGUACGUCUGAUGUUUGCCACUGUCAGAACGCUCUCUCUUCAGUGAAGCACCCCCCCUUUCAAAGCGUGUGCAGGCUGUUCUAUACCUCCGUAGAGGAAUUAUUCGCAUGUUGAAUUCUGCGUGCUUCGUAGGCUUCAUCAAAUUCCCUACGGAAGCGGUUUAUCAGCAGCGACGGCGAUGAACUCGAUAGAGGCUGCAGAUGCAGAAUUUCGGAGGAUGUCGGUUUUUACAGGUACACAUGCCAGGUUGUCAAAGUAGAUAGAUUCUCCUUAGGUUAUGUUUAUUGCACUCUGCAGGUUUAUCAGUGUCCUGUACUAUGACCUGCUCGAUGGGACCAUUGGCAA